CGCCUUUCGAUAAAUUAAUAUGAAAGGUCCUGCCUGCCCAGUGAAAAUAUUUAAACGGCCGCGGUAUUAUGACCGUGCAAAGGUAGCAUAAUCACUUGUCUUUUAAAUUAGGACCAGCAUGAAUGGCAAAACGAAAGCCUGACUGUCUCCUUGAACUAGUCAAUGAAAUUAAUCUUCCCGUGCAGAAGCGGGAAUAAAAAUAUAAGACGAGAAGACCCUGUGGAGCUUAAAAUAAAAUUAUAUAGAUACUUAUAAUAACAUUAAAUUUAGGUUGGGGCGACCAUGAGGUAAAAUAUAACCCUCAAGACAACAAUAAGAAGGACACUUCAAACAAAAUAAAGUUUAUAUUAUUGACCCAAUAAUGAUCAACGAACCAAGUUACCCCAGGGAUAACAGCGCAAUCCAUUCCCAAAGUCCAUAUCGACGAAUGGGUUUACGACCUCGAUGUUGGAUCAGGACCCCCAAAUGGUGCAACAGCUAUUAAAGGUUCGUUUGUUCAACGAUUAAAGUCCU
This 513-nucleotide ribosomal RNA is filed under the name Chiropterotriton multidentatus (toothy splayfoot salamander). Its description in RNAcentral is "partial 16S large subunit ribosomal RNA". It matches the Rfam family "Bacterial large subunit ribosomal RNA", at positions 1817 to 2597 of the family's 2925-position model. The record is from RNAcentral. Lineage: Eukaryota; Metazoa; Chordata; Amphibia; Caudata; Plethodontidae.